ACCAACAGGGAUUGCCCUAGUAACGGCGAGUGAAGCGGCAACAGCUCAAAUUUGAAAUCUGGCGCAAGCCCGAGUUGUAAUUUGUAGAGGAUGCUUCUGGGUAGCGGCCGGUCUAAGUUCCUUGGAACAGGACGUCACAGAGGGUGAGAAUCCCGUAUGUGAUCGGCGCGCGCCCUCUACGUAGCUCCUUCGACGAGUCGAGUUGUUUGGGAAUGCAGCUCUAAAUGGGAGGUAAAUUUCUUCUAAAGCUAAAUACUGGCCAGAGACCGAUAGCGCACAAGUAGAGUGAUCGAAAGAUGAAAAGCACUUUGGAAAGAGAGUUAAAAAGCACGUGAAAUUGUUGAAAGGGAAGCGCUUACAACCAGACUUGCGGGUGGUGUUCCGCCGGGCUUCUGCCCGGUCUACUCGCCGCUCGCAGGCCAUCAUCGUCUGGGGCCGCCGGAGAAACCGUCAGGAAUGUGGCUCCCUCGGGAGUGUUAUAGCCUGUCGACAUGCGGCGUGCCCCGGGCGAGGUCCGCGCACUGCAAGGAUGAUGGCGUAAUGGUUGUCAGCGGCCCGUCUUGAAACACGGACCAAGGAGUCUAACAUCUAUGCGAGUGUUCGGGUGUCAAACCCCUACGCGUAAUGAAAGUGAACGGAGGUGGGAGCUUCGGCGCACCAUCGACCGAUCCUGAUGUCCUCGGAUGGAUUUGAGUAAGAGCAUAGCUGUUGGGACCCGAAAGAUGGUGAACUAUGCCUGAAUAGGGUGAAGCCAGAGGAAACUCUGGUGGAGGCUCGCAGCGGUUCUGACGUGCAAAUCGAUCGUCAAAUUUGGGUAUAGGGGCGAAAGACUAAUCGAACCAU
RNAcentral lists this ribosomal RNA (843 nucleotides) under Dissoconium eucalypti. RNAcentral's name for it is "partial large subunit ribosomal RNA". It matches the Rfam family "Eukaryotic large subunit ribosomal RNA", at positions 64 to 943 of the family's 3401-position model. The record is from RNAcentral. Lineage: Eukaryota; Fungi; Ascomycota; Dothideomycetes; Mycosphaerellales; Dissoconiaceae.